Long non-coding RNA from Beta vulgaris subsp. vulgaris (sugar beet), 2813 nucleotides. RefSeq lists it as uncharacterized. NCBI's taxonomy places the organism in Eukaryota, Viridiplantae, Streptophyta, Magnoliopsida, Caryophyllales, Amaranthaceae. The transcript is spliced from 4 exons. The record is from RefSeq and is a predicted model, not a curated record.
ACAUAUAUAUCCACUAAAAGUUAGUUAUCUCUUAUAUCUCUAUUUUAAAAAAGUAAAACCCUAAAUAUACUAUUCUUUAAUUACUUGAUUUACCUUUAAUUUACUUACUCCAUCGAUCAUUAACAAAUUAUUGCCCAAUGUAAUUUGAAAGCCAAUAAAACAAAAAAAGCUAAAAGCGUCUUCCUCAAACACGCACUACCGAUAGAACAGUACUGCACCACCCGCCUGAAAUUGCGCCAAAAUUCAAUCGCCGGAAACCGUCGCUUUACCUUCCCGGCCAAUUCGUCUGCCAGUGGACUCGGUUUGUCGUCCAAUUACGUCUUCGCCGGUCUCUUAAUUUCGUCUGCCAGUGGAGUCUUGUUCGAUUACCACCACCACGCCCCAGCGACGCCACCACGCCAUAGUGACGUAAUUCGUCCGCCAUUAUCCAGGUAUUAAACUAGUUGAACCCAAUUCAUCUCGCCCUCCAAUUUGUUUUGUUAGGGUAAUUGAAAUGUAUAUUUUUUGAUCGAAAUUCUUGUUUAAUUUGUUUAUAGAUUUUCAUUAUAAAUUAAAUUGUAUCUAGAAUUACAAAUUAUUUACAUAUACAACAUGAAAAGAUUCCAAGAGCUGUGAUGAUAAUUAAUCUGCUAUCGAUUAACACAUCUUUUCAUGUUAAUCGAUUAAUCAGCUAUCAAGUUAAUCUAUGAUAACGUCUGCUAUCAAAUUUGAGUUGUGGUUAAUCUGCUAUCGAUAAAUAGAAGUUAAAGUUAUGUUCUAUCAUCCAUGAUACUGGUGUUUUAGACUAAACACGCUAUGGAAAUUGGAAUGUAUAUCACAUCAAACAUGAGAAAACUUACUGUCCUACCAAGGGUCAACUUCACAAUAUAUCCUGGAAAACAUGAUGGAUAGAAACAGUGAGAUAAAAAGCAUACUUUGAUCAAUUGGAUAACAAUUCUGUGUGUGAAGUGUUUUCAAGCUGAGUCCAAGAUCAAUAAAACCAUCGUCCUUCGCCUGAUUGUUUUUAGUACUUGGUCAUUUUGUUCUGCUUCUGCAUAAGGGUACAUAUGGUUGCAUCUCAUCUAAGAACAAUUCUAUUUUGUUAUCAGGUGUUGCCCAACUAGUUGAUGAUUUUUCUGCUGUAAAAUAUGCACUUAUAGUUCCUUAGAGGAUUUUAAAUGAAAGUUGAAACUAGAAGCAUGCUAAUUUGGAAAUGAAUUAACUUCUAUAAGUGGAAGCCCUCAGAAUUCAGUUCCGUUAAAUUUUAUAAGUUCUGGUGUGCCUCUUUUGGGGUUGCAUAACUUAUAUUGGUCCUUGAAAGUUGAAACUCAUAAGCAAGCGAGAAGUAUUCGAGAUUGCCUGACUGAAAUAGACUAUUAGAAAUCUUUUCUCCUUUUUGGAAUUGAUCCACAAGAAAAAUGAGAUUAUUUUGAAGACAUGGAAUUUCCUUAAUCUCUUAUUCCCACUUGAUUUAUAGUGUUUCUAAUCUUACACUUUGUCGUCGUGUCUAAUUGAUGACCCCUAAUUACUAGUCUACUUCGCUUUAUAAAGGAAGAUCAGCUAUUUCAGAACAGGAUCCAACUUAUGUGGUUUAAUAUAGUAAUGGUGUCUCUUUAUGAUGUCUAGCAACAAAACGAAACAGGAACAAUUCUUAUAUGAGAUAGAUAUACUAAGGUGAAAACUUAAUUGUAGUAAUAUAAAUCACAGAAUAAAAUAGAACUGUUUUUGGUUUUUGAAUUUCUCUCUCUUCACAUUUUCUGUGUAUAUAUGUUAACAAUCUGUUUGUUUUUAUGUGGCCCGUGUUCUUCUGCACUUUUUCUUACUCUCCAUGAGCUGUCUCCAUUUCUGAGUUCAAUACACAGAUGGCAGUGAGGCAGUUUGUUACUUGUAUUAUAAGUGGAGGCCGAUAAACAAGCGACAAAAUCAUAUACCACUCCAUCCCCGCAAACGCCAUCAUCACAAGCAUCAAACACUCGAAACUACAUUAUCACUAAUAGGAUCUUGCCAAGUUGACAAAUAGUUAUUUACGAAAAUUCAAGACUCAAGCAAUGAAAAUGAAAUCAAGUGGUGAUAGCAUAUCUGUUACAAUACCAACAACUGUGUACGGUCAUGAGUAGACAACUAUCAUUGAUUAUGAAGACAUGCUUGAUUGGUGCUUCCAAAGAGCGAUUGGAGUGACUCACUUGUCAAUUUUCAUGAAAUACUUGAGCGAAAAAUGUCAAGAAGAUAGUGUAUCUGAGAUGUAUGGAAUCCGACAAUCAAGUGGAAAAAACCUGAGCUAUACUAUGUCAUUCUUUUUUUAUGGUAACUUGUGUUUAUACUAUGUCAAUCAAGUGGAAAAUAUCAAUGUACUAAUUGUUUACUGCUUUUGGUAUUCUCCUUCACUAAAAAAUCUAGGAACUAGUGUCCUAGUCAACACCAAGAAUCUCAUGACUGUGGAUAUUAUGUGUGCCGAUAUAUGCUCGAGACUGUAGAGAAAAGGCGACAAGCAAUUCCUGAUAAGUACUUUGGGGGAGUUACAACUGAAUUUUCUCAAAAUAAGAUUGAUGAGCUCAGAGACUUGUAGAUCAAAUAUGUGGAUGAGUAUAAACAAGUGGAUGAAGAAGAAUUGGAAGAUAAUGACCAUUUUAAUUAGGAUGUGUGUAUUUUCUUUUUGAGCGGGAUUAGGGAGCUGCUUCUAUUUUUGUGUACAUGAAUUGGAAGAAACGACAGGCCUAGGUGUUCUAUUAUUUUUUUUAUAACUUAGUUGAAUUUUUGGAAUCUUUUAAACAUUAUAUGUGAUUUUAAUUGUAGUGAAUGAUAUUAAAUGAAUGAAAAAGUAUUUCAAUUUUAAA